CCAGCCAUCGGUUCGAAACAGAUAAACGGCCGAGAUCGAGCAAGGGAACCACGUUCAUUGCAGUUAUUUUCCAUUCUCUAAAUGGUUCACAUCCGCCGUCGGAUCAAUCCACGUGUCGCGCAAAGACAUAAUCAAGCAAAGAGUGCGUCAGUUGCCAUAACUACACAGCUAACUGCUCGAGAAAACUUCUCCACUUCCCCGUAAGAGCGCCAUGAUUAGUACAGACAAGCCUGCAU
This 236-nucleotide long non-coding RNA is filed under the name Aquilegia coerulea. Its description in RNAcentral is "long non-coding RNA (ACOE_LNC000706)". The record is from RNAcentral. Lineage: Eukaryota; Viridiplantae; Streptophyta; Magnoliopsida; Ranunculales; Ranunculaceae.